Molecule: ribosomal RNA, 433 nt
Filed under: uncultured bacterium
Lineage: Bacteria
Description: partial 16S ribosomal RNA
Rfam family: Bacterial small subunit ribosomal RNA
Source: RNAcentral
AACGAACGCUGGCGGCAUGCCUAACACAUGCAAGUCGAACGAGACCUUCGGGUCUAGUGGCGCACGGGUGCGUAACGCGUGGGAAUCUGCCCUUGGGUUCGGGAUAACAGUUGGAAACGACUGCUAAUACCGGAUGAUGACUUCGGUCCAAAGAUUUAUCGCCCAGGGAUGAGCCCGCGUCGGAUUAGCUAGUUGGUGAGGUAAGAGCUCACCAAGGCGACGAUCCGUAGCUGGUCUGAGAGGAUGAUCAGCCACACUGGGACUGAGACACGGCCCAGACUCCUACGGGAGGCAGCAGUGGGGAAUAUUGGACAAUGGGCGAAAGCCUGAUCCAGCAAUGCCGCGUGAGUAAUGAAGGCCUUAGGGUUGUAAAGCUCUUUUACCCGGGAUGAUAAUGACAGUACCGGGAGAAUAAGCCCCGGCUAACUCCGUG